AUGGCAAUAGAAGACGAUACGACACUAGAGAGAACAUGGGUGCGAAGUUUCAAUCCUUUUAAGAUAGAAAUAUCUGUCAAAGACCUGCAAAACAUAUUAACGACAAAUCAAGAUAUGAUUCUAAGAUGUUUUGACAUGGCUGUUCGGCUGCUUGCCAAUAAAGAGUCACGUAGGCCGAAAGGAGAAAUCAUAAAUAAUAGAAAGCAUUAUAUGGACAUGCGUUUUUGGAGAAUGGUUGGUUUUGGUAAACUUCCAAAGUACCA
Molecule: long non-coding RNA, 263 nt
Organism: Zea mays
Lineage: Eukaryota; Viridiplantae; Streptophyta; Magnoliopsida; Poales; Poaceae
Exons: 3
Source: RefSeq, a predicted model, not a curated record